UAGGGAAUCUUCCACAAUGGACGAAAGUCUGAUGGAGCAACGCCGCGUGAGUGAAGAAGGGUUUCGGCUCGUAAAACUCUGUUGUUAAAGAAGAACAUAUCUGAGAGUAACUGCUCAGGUAUUGACGGUAUUUAACCAGAAAGCCACGGCUAACUACGUGCCAG
RNAcentral lists this ribosomal RNA (164 nucleotides) under uncultured bacterium. Its description in RNAcentral is "partial 16S ribosomal RNA". It matches the Rfam family "Bacterial small subunit ribosomal RNA", at positions 355 to 511 of the family's 1533-position model. The record is from RNAcentral.